CAGUCGCCACGGGAAUACAGAGGGUGCGAGUGUUAAUCGGAUUUACUGGGCGUAAAGCGUGCGUAGGCGGCUUCUUAAGUCGGAUGUGAAAUCCCUGAGCUUAACUUAGGAAUUGCAUUCGAUACUGGGAAGCUAGAGUAUGGGAGAGGAUGGUAGAAUUCCAGGUGUAGCGGUGAAAUGCGUAGAGAUCUGGAGGAAUACCGAUGGCGAAGGCAGCCAUCUGGCCUAAUACUGACGCUGAGGUACGAAAGCAUGGGGAGCAAACAGGAUUAGAUACCCCGGUAGUCCCUGUCUCUUAUAC
This 301-nucleotide ribosomal RNA is filed under the name uncultured bacterium. RNAcentral's name for it is "partial 16S ribosomal RNA". It matches the Rfam family "Bacterial small subunit ribosomal RNA", at positions 509 to 807 of the family's 1533-position model. The record is from RNAcentral.